GACGAACGCUGGCGGCGUGCUUAACACAUGCAAGUCGAACGGUAAGGCCCCAGCUUGCUGGGGUACACGAGUGGCGAACGGGUGAGUAACACGUGGGUGACCUGCCCCGCACUUCGGGAUAAGCCUGGGAAACUGGGUCUAAUACCGGAUAGGACCGCACCGUGAGGGUGUGGUGGAAAGUUUUUCGGUGUGGGAUGGGCCCGCGGCCUCUCAGCUUGUUGGUGGGGUAAUGGCCUACCAAGGCGGCGACGGGUAGCCGGCCUGAGAGGGUGGACGGCCACAUUGGGACUGAGACACGGCCCAGACUCCUACGGGAGGCAGCAGUGGGGAAUAUUGCACAAUGGGCGGAAGCCUGAUGCAGCGACGCCGCGUGGGGGAUGACGGCCUUCGGGUUGUAAACUCCUUUCACCAUCGACGAAGGUUUUCUGACGGUAGAUGGAGAAGAAGCACCGGCUAACUACGUG
RNAcentral lists this ribosomal RNA (464 nucleotides) under uncultured bacterium. RNAcentral describes it as "partial 16S ribosomal RNA". It matches the Rfam family "Bacterial small subunit ribosomal RNA", at positions 28 to 507 of the family's 1533-position model. The record is from RNAcentral.